GCCAGUGUGGUGCAGUGGUUUGAGUAUUGGACUACAGCUCUGGAGACCAGGGUUCGAGUCCCCACUUGGCCA
RNAcentral lists this transfer RNA (72 nucleotides) under Phrynosoma platyrhinos (Desert horned lizard). Its description in RNAcentral is "tRNA-OTHER". Lineage: Eukaryota; Metazoa; Chordata; Lepidosauria; Squamata; Phrynosomatidae. The record is from RNAcentral.